Molecule: ribosomal RNA, 254 nt
Filed under: uncultured bacterium
Lineage: Bacteria
Description: partial 16S ribosomal RNA
Rfam family: Bacterial small subunit ribosomal RNA
Source: RNAcentral
CACGUAGGGUGCGAGCGUUGUCCGGAAUUAUUGGGCGUAAAGAGCUCGUAGGCGGUGUGUCGCGUCGGCCGUGAAAACCUGCAGCUUAACUGUGGGCGUGCGGUCGAUACGGGCAUCACUGGAGUUCGGCAGGGGAGACUGGAAUUCCUGGUGUAGCGGUGAAAUGCGCAGAUAUCAGGAGGAACACCGGUGGCGAAGGCGGGUCUCUGGGCCGAUACUGACGCUGAGGAGCGAAAGCGUGGGGAUCAAACAGG